This 484-nucleotide ribosomal RNA is filed under the name uncultured bacterium. RNAcentral describes it as "partial 16S ribosomal RNA". It matches the Rfam family "Bacterial small subunit ribosomal RNA", at positions 30 to 507 of the family's 1533-position model. The record is from RNAcentral.
AUUGAACGCUGGCGGCAGGCCUAACACAUGCAAGUCGAGCGGAUGAAGGGAGCUUGCUCCUGGAUUCAGCGGCGGAUGGGUGAGUAAUGCCUAGGAAUCUGCCUGGUAGUGGGGGAUAACGUCCGGAAACGGGCGCUAAUACCGCAUACGUCCUGAGGGAGAAAGUGGGGGAUCUUCGGACCUCACGCUAUCAGAUGAGCCUAGGUCGGAUUAGCUAGUUGGUGGGGUAAAGGCCUACCAAGGCGACGAUCCGUAACUGGUCUGAGAGGAUGAUCAGUCACACUGGAACUGAGACACGGUCCAGACUCCUACGGGAGGCAGCAGUGGGGAAUAUUGGACAAUGGGCGAAAGCCUGAUCCAGCCAUGCCGCGUGUGUGAAGAAGGUCUUCGGAUUGUAAAGCACUUUAAGUUGGAAGGAAGGGCAGUAAGUUAAUACCUUGCUGUUUUGACGUUACCAACAGAAUAAGCACCGGCUAACUUCGUG